AGUUUGAUCCUGGCUCAGGAUGAACGCUGACAGAAUGCUUAACACAUGCAAGUCAACUUGAAUUUGGGUUUUUAACUUUAGAUUUGGGUGGCGGACGGGUGAGUAACGCGUAAAGAACUUGCCUCACAGCUAGGGACAACAUUUGGAAACGAAUGCUAAUACCUGAUAUUAUGAUUUUAAGGCAUCUUAGAAUUAUGAAAGCUAUACGCGCUGUGAGAGAGCUUUGCGUCCCAUUAGCUAGUUGGAGAGGUAACGGCUCACCAAGGCGAUGAUGGGUAGCCGGCCUGAGAGGGUGAACGGCCACAAGGGGACUGAGACACGGCCCUUACUCCUACGGGAGGCAGCAGUGGGGAAUAUUGGACAAUGGACCAAGAGUCUGACCCAGCAAUUCUGUGUGCACGAUGACGUUUUUCGGAAUGUAAAGUGCUUUCAGUUGGGAAGAAAAAAAUGACGGUACCAACAGAAGAAGUGACGGCUAAAUACGUG
Molecule: ribosomal RNA, 486 nt
Filed under: uncultured Fusobacterium sp.
Lineage: Bacteria; Fusobacteriati; Fusobacteriota; Fusobacteriia; Fusobacteriales; Fusobacteriaceae
Description: bacterial SSU rRNA
Rfam family: Bacterial small subunit ribosomal RNA
Source: RNAcentral